CUCUGUCGUGGGGGAUAACGUAGGGAAACUUACGCUAAUACCGCAUACGACCUACGGGUGAAAGUGGGGGACCGCAAGGCCUCACGCGAUAGAAUGAGCCGAUGUCGGAUUAGCUAGUUGGCGGGGUAAAGGCCCACCAAGGCGACGAUCCGUAGCUGGUCUGAGAGGAUGAUCAGCCACACUGGAACUGAGACACGGUCCAGACUCCUACGGGAGGCAGCAGUGGGGAAUAUUGGACAAUGGGCGCAAGCCUGAUCCAGCCAUACCGCGUGAGUGAAGAAGGCCCUCGGGUUGUAAAGCUCUUUUGUUGGGAAAGAAAUCCUGUUGGCUAAUACCCGGCAGGGAUGACGGUACCCAAAGAAUAAGCACCGGCUAACUUCGUGCCAGCAGCCGCGGUAAUACGAAGGGUGCAAGCGUUACUCGGAAUUACUGGGCGUAAAGCGUGCGUAGGUGGUGGUUUAAGUCUGUUGUGAAAGCCCUGGGCUCAACCUGGGAAUUGCAGUGGAUACUGGAUCACUAGAGUGUGGUAGAGGGUGGCGGAAUUCCCGGUGUAGCAGUGA
This 560-nucleotide ribosomal RNA is filed under the name Pseudoxanthomonas sp. R-5. Its description in RNAcentral is "bacterial SSU rRNA". It matches the Rfam family "Bacterial small subunit ribosomal RNA", at positions 129 to 684 of the family's 1533-position model. Lineage: Bacteria; Pseudomonadati; Pseudomonadota; Gammaproteobacteria; Lysobacterales; Lysobacteraceae. The record is from RNAcentral.